RNAcentral lists this long non-coding RNA (85 nucleotides) under Ursus americanus (American black bear). RNAcentral's name for it is "lncRNA (ENSUAMG00000008663.1)". The record is from RNAcentral. Lineage: Eukaryota; Metazoa; Chordata; Mammalia; Carnivora; Ursidae.
CUGGACUCUUGCUUUCCGGCUCCUGUAGCCUUCUUGCAAGGAAGCCUCCAAGUAUUACCAUGUCAUCGAGCAUCCAGGCUUUUGG